This 318-nucleotide ribosomal RNA is filed under the name Salmonella enterica. Its description in RNAcentral is "bacterial SSU rRNA". It matches the Rfam family "Bacterial small subunit ribosomal RNA", at positions 114 to 435 of the family's 1533-position model. Lineage: Bacteria; Pseudomonadati; Pseudomonadota; Gammaproteobacteria; Enterobacterales; Enterobacteriaceae. RNAcentral also lists the same sequence under 2 other names. The record is from RNAcentral.
UGUCUGGGAAACUGCCUGAUGGAGGGGGAUAACUACUGGAAACGGUGGCUAAUACCGCAUAACGUCGCAAGACCAAAGAGGGGGACCUUCGGGCCUCUUGCCAUCAGAUGUGCCCAGAUGGGAUUAGCUUGUUGGUGAGGUAACGGCUCACCAAGGCGACGAUCCCUAGCUGGUCUGAGAGGAUGACCAGCCACACUGGAACUGAGACACGGUCCAGACUCCUACGGGAGGCAGCAGUGGGGAAUAUUGCACAAUGGGCGCAAGCCUGAUGCAGCCAUGCCGCGUGUAUGAAGAAGGCCUUCGGGUUGUAAAGUACUU